GGGCGCGUGGUCUAGUGGUAUGAUUCUCGCUUUGGGCGACGGUUGUAACAACCGACAAAACUGUGAGAGGCCCUGGGUUCAAUUCCCAGCUCGCCCC
This 97-nucleotide transfer RNA is filed under the name Metschnikowia bicuspidata. RNAcentral describes it as "tRNA-Pro". It matches the Rfam family "tRNA". Rfam says of the family: Transfer RNA (tRNA) molecules are approximately 80 nucleotides in length. Their secondary structure includes four short double-helical elements and three loops (D, anti-codon, and T loops). Lineage: Eukaryota; Fungi; Ascomycota; Pichiomycetes; Serinales; Metschnikowiaceae. The record is from RNAcentral.